RNAcentral lists this ribosomal RNA (485 nucleotides) under uncultured bacterium. RNAcentral describes it as "bacterial SSU rRNA". It matches the Rfam family "Bacterial small subunit ribosomal RNA", at positions 353 to 854 of the family's 1533-position model. The record is from RNAcentral.
AGUGGGGAAUAUUGGGCAAUGGGCGAAAGCCUGACCCAGCAACGCCGCGUGAAGGAAGAAGGUUUUCGGAUCGUAAACUUCUAUCCCGGGUGAAGAUAAUGACGGUAGCCCGGAAGGAAGCCCCGGCUAACUACGUGCCAGCAGCCGCGGUAAUACGUAGGGGGCAAGCGUUGUCCGGAAUGAUUGGGCGUAAAGGGCGCGUAGGCGGCCUUGUAAGUCCGAUGUGAAAUUCCUGCUUUUAAGGUAGGAAUUGCAUUGGAAACUGUAGGGCUUGAGUGCAGGAGAGGUAAGCGGAAUUCCCGGUGUAGCGGUGAAAUGCGUAGAGAUCGGGAGGAACACCAGUGGCGAAGGCGGCUUACUGGACUGUAACUGACGCUGAGGCGCGAAAGUGUGGGGAGCAAACAGGAUUANAUACCCUGGUAAUCCACACUGUAAACGAUGAAUGCUAUGUGUAGGAGGUAUCGACCCCUUCUGUGCCGGAGUCA